GCCCCUGUAGUGUAGUUCGGCCUAGCAUCCGAGACUGUCACUCUCGGGACCCGGGUUCGAAUCCCGGCGGGGGCGCCA
Molecule: transfer RNA, 78 nt
Filed under: Candidatus Thorarchaeota archaeon
Lineage: Archaea; Promethearchaeati; Candidatus Thorarchaeota
Description: tRNA-Asp
Rfam family: tRNA
About the family: Transfer RNA (tRNA) molecules are approximately 80 nucleotides in length.
Source: RNAcentral